Long non-coding RNA from Fukomys damarensis (Damara mole-rat), 822 nucleotides. RefSeq lists it as uncharacterized. Lineage: Eukaryota; Metazoa; Chordata; Mammalia; Rodentia; Bathyergidae. The transcript has 5 exons. The record is from RefSeq and is a predicted model, not a curated record.
CGCCUUGAUGGCUUCUCUGGCAGUUCUUGAUGACCAUGGAUGAGCUAAUGGCUGUGGUCUCAAUGGUGGCUUCCUGAGGUUAUUUGCAGCUGUAAUGGUGUAUAAGCCUGUGUCACUUCUACGAGACUGAGGAAUAACUAAAGUGCAAGUAUCAUCCACCACCAGUUUGUUGACGUGGGUGUCGUAGACAACAGGUUCUUUGUUAUCAGGCUUCUUUGGAGGAGCUUUAAACCAGGCAAACAGCAGCCCUGGAAGUAUGUUCAAAUGAUAGGAUCCAGGAUCCAUACCUUCAUCAUCUUGUAUGACUACGUUAAGAGGCAGAGAUGGUUCACUUUCACCGAUCUCAUUGACGGCUUUGACCCGGAACUCAUACAUUUGGUGUUCAUCGAGAUUUUCAACCAGAAAAGAUGUGGUUGGGCAGAGCCUCUUGUUAACUCUUUCAAACUCAGGAAUUACGUACAGAUUGGAUCGCGUGCUGUUUGGGGAUCUGAAGGUGGACUGAACUUUCCAGGUCCAGCUGCAUUUUCAGCACAUACUCUGAAGACAUAGAGGUGGCUUCCAUGUAAUAGUCAUGGCCUUAGCUGUAGGAUUGUGGACCUCGACAUCUACAGGUGGAUCAGGGGGCUCUGAAGAACAAGAAAAAAAUCUGCUAGCUCUAUGAAAGCCAACUUUUUAGAAUGAGACUUUGAAAUUAACUCCCAGCCGUUCUGCAACCAUGCUCAAACUUACGCUUUGGAUCUUGAGCAAUGACUGGAUUUUUGAGUUCAAUAUAUUCUCCUCCACCGAUCUUGUUAACUGCUUUGACACGGAAGAAGUAUUCAC